Molecule: long non-coding RNA, 304 nt
Filed under: Populus tremula
Lineage: Eukaryota; Viridiplantae; Streptophyta; Magnoliopsida; Malpighiales; Salicaceae
Description: long non-coding RNA (PTRE_LNC003460)
Source: RNAcentral
UACAAUAGUUGUCUUAUUGCCUAUAGAAUCACACAGAUACUACAUAAGCAUGCAUACAAGAACAAAAGCUAGGAAAUAAAAUAUCCAUUAAGUUUUGUUUUAACAGACCAAAAGGCAAAAGGAGUUCUAUCAUAUUUUUUGUCGACCACUAAGUUAUUUUUAUAAUUAUUUUGAACAAAAAAUUCAAUUAUCUUGCAUAAUUAACUUUUAAAAAAACAACUUUAAAUUUAUUAAUUUUUGAGUUUUUUUCCCACAUUAGCAUAGCCCAAACAAAAUUUCCCAAACUAACAUAGUUCACAAAUCC